ACUGCUCAGUAACACGUGGACAACCUGCCCUUAGGACGGGGAUAAACCCGGGAAACUGGGUAUAAUACCCGAUAGGUCUCGAUUGCUGGAAUGCAUCGAGAUUUAAAGCUCCGGCGCCUAAGGAUGGGUCUGCGGCCUAUCAGGUAGUAGUGGGUGUAGCGUACCUACUAGCCUACGACGGGUACGGGUUGUGAGAGCAAGAGCCCGGAGAUGGAUUCUGAGACACCGAAUCCAGGCCCUACGGGGUGCAGCAGGCGCGAAAACUUUACAAUGCUGGCAACAGCGAUAAGGGAACCUCGAGUGCCAGGUUACAAAUCCGGCUGUCGAGAUGCCUAAAAAGCAUUUCAUAGCAAGGGCCGGGCAAGACCGGUGCCAGCCGCCGCGGUAACACCGGCGGCUCGAGUGGUAACCGUUAUUAUUGGGUCUAAAGGGUCUGUAGCCGGCCGGAUAAGUCUCUUGAGAAAUCUGGCAGCUUAACUGUCAGGCUUUCAGGAGAUACUGUCUGGCUCGAGGC
RNAcentral lists this ribosomal RNA (514 nucleotides) under uncultured Methanosaeta sp. RNAcentral describes it as "bacterial SSU rRNA". It matches the Rfam family "Archaeal small subunit ribosomal RNA", at positions 85 to 599 of the family's 1478-position model. The record is from RNAcentral. Lineage: Archaea; Methanobacteriati; Methanobacteriota; Methanomicrobia; Methanotrichales; Methanotrichaceae.